Molecule: ribosomal RNA, 253 nt
Filed under: uncultured bacterium
Lineage: Bacteria
Description: partial 16S ribosomal RNA
Rfam family: Bacterial small subunit ribosomal RNA
Source: RNAcentral
UACGUAGGGGGCAAGCGUUGUCCGGAAUCAUUGGGCGUAAAGCGCGCGUAGGCGGCCCGGCAAGUCCGCUGUAAAAGUCCAGGGCUCAACCCUGGAAAGCCGGUGGAUACUGUCGGGCUAGAGUCCGGAAGAGGCGAGUGGAAUUCCUGGUGUAGCGGUGGAAUGCGCAGAUAUCAGGAGGAACACCGAUGGCGAAGGCAGCUCGCUGGGACGGUACUGACGCUGAGACGCGAAAGCGUGGGGAGCGAACAGG